UGCUUUGGCAGCAUGUGUACUAAAUUAAAGUUGGAAUGAGAUACACAUGAUUAACAUGGGCCCUGUGCUGGGAUGACAAACAAAUUCAUGAAGUGAUCCGUAUGUUA
This 107-nucleotide small nuclear RNA is filed under the name Phascolarctos cinereus (koala). Lineage: Eukaryota; Metazoa; Chordata; Mammalia; Diprotodontia; Phascolarctidae. The record is from RNAcentral.